AAACAUCGCCUCUUGUAUCUAUAAGAGGUCCAGCCUGCCCAAUGAUUUUAUUUAAUGGCCGCGGUAUCCUAACCGUGCAAAGGUAGCGUAAUCACUUGUCUUCCAAAUAAAGACCCGUAUGAAUGGCAUCACGAAGACUCAGCUGUCUCCUUUCUCCAAUCAGUGAACCUAAUCUCCCCGUGAAGAAGCGGGGAUCCCACUAUAAGACGAGAAGACCCCGUGGAGCUUAAAACAUGAUAACAACUGCCGCCACCUCUAACCACCCCGAUGUUUCCCCUCCCGACACCCUGAUUAUAUGUUUUUGGUUGGGGUGACCGCGGAGAAAAACCCAUCCUCCACAAUGAAAGGGACUUCUACCUUAAACUACAAGUCACAACUUAACGUAUCAAAAAAUUGACAUUCCUUGACCCAAUAAAUUGAUUAACGAACCAAGUUACCCCGGGGAUAACAGCACAAUCCACUUUGAGAGCCCCUAUCGACAAGUGGGCUUAUGACCUCGAUGUUGGAUCAGGAUAUCCCAGUGGUGCAGCCGCUACUAAAGGUUCGUUUGUUCAACGAUUAAAAUCCCACGUGAU
This 575-nucleotide ribosomal RNA is filed under the name Pristimantis cruciocularis. RNAcentral describes it as "partial 16S ribosomal RNA". It matches the Rfam family "Bacterial large subunit ribosomal RNA", at positions 1811 to 2604 of the family's 2925-position model. The record is from RNAcentral. Lineage: Eukaryota; Metazoa; Chordata; Amphibia; Anura; Strabomantidae.